UUGGGGAAAAUGGGUUUAAUUCAUUACCAAUUAAAAAUACAGUAGGAUGGUGAGAAACAAAGACAAAACCUAAAACACAUCCCCCCACCUCAUUCUUCCCAGGUUUAACUACUCUCCUUCGCUCCUAACUCUUCUACCUUCUUCUGCAGGAGAAUCUCCCCUCCAGCGGCUGGAGUACCUCUCCCCCUACUUCUUAACUGACACUGGUGUCUGCAGGGCUGGUUCUCAGAUUCUUCUCAGUCCUCCAACAGCUGCUGUGCAGCAUUUUUUCUCUUUAUUAAAUAUGUUAUUAUGGAGCCGCAACCAUCUCAGUUGAGGGACUCCACUGUGCUGUGCGGUGGGUCCGUUGGAGCUGGCUGGAACUGCUUGUGUGCAGGCCAGGCAAAUCCUCUUCUCAUGCAGGCCACCUCUACAGCCCCCACUUAGCAGCAUCUGGGUGCCUAUACCCAGUACAAGUUCUGCUUGGCAGAAUUCUAAACUUGAUUGCUCCAAGGCCAGAAGGAUACACAGGAAGGAACAAAAAGAGGGUGAGCUUCCUAAAUUUGCUGUUGAGCUGGGAUCCUGGUCCUGACAUUUCAUGCUGAUACUGAGUAGCGUCAUUCUUAUUUUCAGAGCUUUGAAGUAGUAGAUGAAACAACUGCUUUAGAAGAGCCAAUUAUUAUUCUGAAAAGGUCAAAAUUGUUUCCACCAGCUCUCUGCCACUCUUUACACCUUUUACAAAAGAGCUGAAGCAUUGGUAAUGAUUAGUAUGCAGUAAAUAUUGCCUUCUUGGUUUUCUUUACAACUCUAAGAAGACAGCAGUUUAAAUAAAAUACUUUUACUUAGUUUUUAAUGAUAUAUUAAUUAUUUUUGAUGUAUAGGCAGAAGAGAAGUACAACAUAAUUAGGCUUGAAUUUUAAUUGGUAAACUCAGUAACAUAGUCUGUGCAAAUGCGUGACUAUAAAUAUGCAAGGAAUGAUGCAGAACUUGGCUAUAAGCAUCAGUUGGGUUAACAGACUUGAAGAUAUAAAUAAGCAACCAUUCAAAACAGUAUUUCAGGUAUGCUCUUCUGACAAUGAAGGAAGAUGCUAGGAAUCCAGACCCUGUGAAAACUGCAUGAACAUGAUAUAAAAUGCAUGCACAAGCAAAUAAAGAAUUCAUUGUGAUCAUUCAGUGCUAGCAGCAAUGGAAACAUUAUCAGUGAACUUGGUAUCGCAAAUAUGGAAGACUAUCAGAUAGUAAAGAAUAAGCUUUUCUGUAGAAGUAUUAAUAGGGAAGGAAUGGCUUAAUCUCACUAAUCUUCUCUUUACAAAUCCUGUGUCUUACGUCCCUGGGGCACUGCUGUAUCAGUCCCUGGCAAUCUGUGCUAUUCGGUAACGUGGUGGGUUUGAAAACAUGCAUAUAUUAGAACAGCAAUACAUUUUACAUAUUGUGUUAGCUUAGGAACAUUCCUACUUUUGUGUCCUAGAAAAUAGCAGAAUGUCCAUGCUGUAGUCGAUUUGUAUGUAAUAUAUACAAUGUGCUAUUCAUAGAGGUGUACAAUUUAAUAAUCAGAUAUUCAGGAUCACCUACCAACAUGUAAUGUGGGAUGCACUGUCCUCCAAGACUGUGACAAAAUAAAUUUUUAUUUUCAAAGUACAGAAAUAUAUUUUACUUCAUCAGCAAUUGCUUUACCUUGUACAUUCAGCUGUGAUGGGGAAAAAAAAAUCCUUGCAAAUGCCAAAAAGACUUUAUGGGAGCAACUAGUAUAUGCCUUGUUGUUUAACCCACAUCGUGAGGAGGAACUAUAGUGAGAUACAUCAUUUGCCUGAAACACCAGAAGCACAUGUUUAAAAACUGUGAUGCACCAUGUAGCAAAGUAAGAAUCCAGGCAAGGAGGCCAGCUUGGGACUGUGAGGAGCACAGGAGGGCUUUGUGAGCAGAUAAUGAGAAGGAACACCCAUGGUGCUCAGACCACACUCCAUUUGCCUUCAAGGCAGAAUGUUUCAUUGAAGGAUAAGACCUGUACAAGCAGCAUUUGCACUUCAAUUCCAUCAAAGCUGUUUACAUUUUCACGGCCCAGUCUGAUCCUGUCUUUCUGUCCCUGUUUGGCAAGCCCAGCUCCUACAGAAAUGUCUCCUCAUUAGAACAUUUUUACUAUAUUUUCUUUCUUUUUUUCAGUUUAGAUGCUUUUCCCCUACACUUUUCUUCCUUUUGUUUCUCUUCUCUGAUGUACCUCAUAUAGUUUCUUUUGUUUUUCUACCUUUCACCUCUGUAUUAUAUACUUACUUUGCAGUUCUUACUACCCCAACAACAAACAGAUCAGUUUGUUUCUCUUCCUCCCCUUUCUUUUGCCCUUGCCUUGUAUUUUCUUCUCUCCUCCCGUAUACUAGAAAUUGAGCUUCUUUUCAGCCAGCUGAGUGUUAGCAUGACCAAGUAACUUGAACUCAAAAGUGGGGUGGCAAGAAGUUAGACUGUUAGCUAAACAGAAUGAUGAAGAACAGUAAGUAUUGCUAUACUCUUAAAGGCCAUGUCAGAUUACGCUGUAACAAUAUGAAAUGCAGUAGUACCAGGACUUCAAAAAUGCUGCGAAUCUCUUAUUUACUUCAUCCAGUUUCUCAAAUUACCAUAGAGGCUGAGGAAUUCUUUUUUUGAAGGCAAGCUAAGUUCUUUGAUUUCUUUGGUUUAUUAAGGGACUUCCUGUCCCAUGCAGAUCUCAUUUACAUUUUUUUUAUAUUUUCAGGAAAGAAUAAAAGGCCAUCAAAUGAUGCACACACAACCAUGCGAGUCACGUGUAACCACACUUACAAGCAAACUCCCAGAAAAGGGGCAAACUUUCCAGAUCUUCCUGUUGUUCAUCCUGACUUUCUGAUAAUUGCAGAAAAUAAUGCUUUAUUAGAGUGAAUUCAUCAUCUCUGCAGCAAGAAAAUGUUCACUAUGUUCAAGAGGAUGUGAUAAGCAAGAAAUCAAUUAAGGCAGUUUAGCGUUCCAGUCUGACUUUGAACUGGAACAAAUCCUUCUGCAGGCUCAGCAGUGCUCAGAUUCAAUGACUGGUGUAAAAGCUUGAGGGAAUCGUUCCCACCCUCUUAGUACAGAAAGGAAACUUGAAAGGAAGUCACAGCAGGCUACAUGUGGCAUGCUUCAGUCUGUAUUUUCACUUAGUCAGUCUGUAUUUUCACUUAGAGAGUAUUUGAAUCUACAAGAUACCUGAUGAGCUGGUUAUUUCCUUGAUCAAUUGCAGAGAGCUGCUGAAAUCCUUUUGCUUAUGGCAUCUUCAGUGUUGUCACUGAAGACAUUUCUUCUGAUUACUACAGCAUUCCAUCACCAUCCCAUCUCUUCAUGGCUGAUGAUAGGUGAUGUUCUCCAGAUGACUAUAUUAUGUGCAUGCAAGCUACAGCUUUUCCAGGAAGGGCAAUCCUUUGUACAAACUGUAUUAGAAAAUCUCUAGAUUUUCAGAUUAUCCAAAACUUGAAAUCUUGCUGCAUACUACAGACAAUAUUAUUUUAGUAUCACACAAUAUUAGAAAACUGGUUUGCUAUAGAAGAAUGACAGCUUUAAUGUAGAAAACAGAAUUAGAGGUUAUCAUUGGAGAUCUCAGUCAUGAAUGUGGCUGUAAUAUCCAGACAUCAGAAGAUAAACAGGAAUACCUGUAAAAAAAUUGGACCUCAGUUUUUUAAACUUAAGGUACACAGUGAUGAGUUUAAUAAACUUCAUAAGAGUAGUCAGUAGUUUUCUCUAUCAGAGCUUCCUAUUGACGACUUGUCUAGAUAAACUCUUCCUUUCAUGUGUGGAAGAUACUCCCUAUUAAAUGUUUAUCUUAAUUGGGAUCUGUGCCACUUUAAUGAGGUCUUGACUGAUUGCCUCCCUGAAAUGGUCUGGAGUUCUGGCUGGGGGAAUCCUCUCAGCCUAUGUUUGGCUUGCCUAAGUCAGUGCUUAGUAUGUUCCUGGGUAUAUUUCCAUGGUGUGUAGAGGUCUAACAACCCUCUGGGCAACAGAACUGAGAAUCUCUUGGCAAUGAUUCCUCCCAAAACUUGCAUUCAGAAAGUGCAGGAGAGGAAAAGAAGAGAUGACAGUUACAGACAAACAUGGUUUCUGUUGUGUUUGAACAGCAUGGGGCUUAAACAACAGCAGCAGACUGACUGAUACCUGAGUCCCUUGUAAUUUGCCAGUCAGCACGGCCAGCCUGCCUUUGGGAUAAAAGAUGCUUCACUGAGUGUAUUCAGAACAACCGCCUUUUGCAAGAAUAUCAGGGUAUAUAUAGUGCCUUGAAAUAGGCAUAGCACCAGCUCCCUGGCCAUGAAGGUUUUGGCACAUCAUUGUUUUCUUAUCCCAAAGCUCCUCUAACGUGGUAGAAAAGAGUGCAGUAGUUUGGCAACAAUAGUCUCUUCUGCGCUUAAGUGUGGGUCUAUUCAAUCCUGUUUUACCAUGGAAGGUGCCAGUUUAUCCAUUAGGUAGUGUUCGUUGAAAAAGAUAUGCUUUUCUCCACAGGAAGCUCACCUCGUACAUGUCCACAGAUCUUCAAAGAUCUUUUCUGCUGAUUGGUGGCACAAGGUACAAAUCCAAAUUGUCACAGCAUGACUCAAAGUCCCAGAGUUAGAUUGUUACAUCUUACCACUCAAUUACCUUUAGUAUUAAAACAUAUUUAAGUUCUGCUGAGGAAGCUGAGCACAAGCAAAAUAAAACAGGAUCAUCUGGUUCUUCUUUGCGUAGGGGUAGCUUGUCAAAAUCUUGAGAGAGACUUUGUAAAACCACAUCACACAAAAUUAGGUUCAAUAAACAGUAGCUAAAGACAGAAAUCUUUCUUGCUUUGAUAGAAGUAUGCAGAUUUUGCAAUUUCUCAUUUUAGCUCUACAGUGUACAAUAAGCAUCCAAAAAGCUUUGUUUUAUAUAUUGGGUGGAGAAAGUGCACUUAAUACCACAUUUUCCUUAUUAAAAAAUCAUAAAGUGAGAGAUCCUUAUGAUUUCUUUAAUUAUUAAGUGUGUGUUUGCAGUGCUGCAAUCUUCUAGGGUCUUGUUAAAUGAGCAAACAAAAAGAAAAAUGGAUUUUCGCUCCGUGCCAUGUCAAUUCAGAGGUCCUCGAGGCAUUUAUUGCUAUAGAAAUACCAAUAAAUUUAAUCAGCUGUUCAAAUGUCCUUUGGGGUCUUUUAAGGUUUGGUGGGGUUUUUUUGUUGUUGGGUUUUUUUGGUUGUUUUGUUUUGUUUUUCUGUCAUCACUGCAUUACAGAUCUGAAUAUUUACCUUAAUUUAACAUUUCUCAUAUUUAAGUGGUCUUGACUGGCAUGUCUUACUUUAAGGGCUCUCUAAGUGUAUUGCGUAUAGUAUAAUGUCAAGUCACUAAAGUUUUGGAGGAAAUACAAAACUGAUCAAUAUAUGAAUAAAUUCAUGUUUACCAUGUUUUUGACCUUGGAUUGUUACUGUGCAGUGGAUGCACAUACAUCUUAUGUGUGUGAUGUGUAGUAGUAACACAGAAUCCAGAGUAAUUGUUAGGAGAGCAUCCACCUGUGUGUUUUAAGCAAAACCUUCACUAGUGAAGUGAGAAAUGUGAUUUCAUGCAGAUUUGUAACACACAAACUUCAGCCUCUGAAUGCUGUAAAAUGCUAUGUGGAAAUGACUUAUUCCAUUGCUUUCUUUGGUCCUCUUUUUGGGUGGAGGAUACACAGACAAGCAUAGCUCUCAGUAGCAUGUUGAACAUCUGGAGAACUUCUCUGGAAGGACUGCAGGCAUCUGCGGUCAAUGAUAAAUAGACAAGUGGGUGCAUGUCAAACCAGAGCAGCGCAGUGCUGCUGCAGGAGUUGUACCUUAUUUUUCCUGUAAACACCCUGGACAAUAACUGUUGAACAGUACUCUUGGUAGGAAUUUUUUCUUUAAUGGAAGAUGCAUUCAGGGUUGUACAUUUAGCCCAGAGAGUAUGUGGUGUUGCUUUCUGUUUUCAUUUCAAACUUCUUGCAUUAGACCUCAUUGCUUUUCUCUGCUCACCAGGAAGCUUGUCUUCACAUGAGGAGGAUGAUGAAGAGGUUGCUCUGUAGCUUCAACUUUUCACUUAUCCCCUGGAAGUCCACAUGGAUAAGAUACAGGAACUGCAUUUCUACACAUUGGUAAACAAGAGUGAUAAUGGCUAAAAUAGGUUAUCAUGCCUCUUACUACAUAUUCAGCUACUGCCAGCAAAUGUUUACAAGCAAAACUGUAUAAAAAAUAGUGAGAAACCAGAUAUAGAAUCAUAGAAUCAUAGAAUCGUAAGGGUUGGAAAGGACCUUAAGAUCAUCUAGUUCCAACCCCUCUGCCAUGGGCAGGGACACCUUGCCCUAAACCACAUGGCUCAAGGCUCUGUCCAACCUGGCCUUGAACACCGCCAGGAAUGGAGCAUCCACAACCUCCCUGGGCAACGCAUUCCAGUGCUUCACCACCCUCACUGUAAAGAACUUCUUCCUUAUAUCUAAUCUAAACUUCCUCUGUUUAAGUUUGAACCCAUUACCCCUUGUCCUACCACUACAGUCCCUAAGGAAGAGUCCCUCCCCAGCAUCCUUGUAGACCCCCUUCAGAUACUGGAAGGCUGCUAUGAGGUCUCUACGCAGCCUUCUCUUCUCCAGGCUGAACAGCCACAACUUUCUCAGCCUGUCUUCAUACGGGAGGUGCUCCAGCCCUCUUAUCAUCCUCGUGGCCCUCCUCUGGACUCGCUCCAACAGCUCCAUGUCCUUUUUAUGUUGAGGACACCAGAACUGUACGCAGUACUCCAAGUGGGGUCUCACAAGAGCAGAGUAGAGGGGCAGGAUCACCUCCUUCGACCUGCUGGUCACGCUUCUCUUGAUGCAGCCCAGGAUACGGUUGGCUUUCUGGGCUGCAAGCGCACACUGCCGGCUCAUGUUAAGCUUCUCGUCAACCAACACCCCCAAGUCCUUGCUGACCCAUUUCCUUUGGCAGUUAGUUUCAUUGUCGAUGUGUCAGAAUAUGGAUGCAGGCCACUUCAUAUACAAAAUCCUUGUAGUGCUCAGUGUGUUUUUCGUAUGACCUCAUUGAAGAGACCUGAUUUUCAGCUAAAACUGAUCAUUUUAAUGAAAGCGUACUGAAUCAUAAUGGCUGCAGUGAAUAGCGCUGGGUACCUCAUCAAACAGGCAAUGGAUAAAAAUGCCUUUAUGCCCUGAUCCUGUACUUACAUGCCUGAGUUAAACAUGCCCAUGAGUGUUUGUGUGAUGAGAGCUUAUGUCAGCAAGUUUUCCUUUGCAGUGCUUGACCUGUGUUUUCCCUUGUAGAGAGAAGUAAAAAGAAGCUCAGUUUCCUAAUAGAUUUGGAAAAAAAAUUAGUAUCUUCUGUUUCUCACAAGUUGUUAGCUGGCCUGAUACAUGAAAUACUGAGGCAGAGCUGCUCUUAUAUAGCAUGGAGCUCAAAUAACAGUUGUUUUGCUUACCUGAGCUCCUCAGGACUCAUACUAGUUCAUGGUAUAGAUCCCGUCCCCUCUUUCCCUACUCCCUUGGCUAAUUUUCUCACUUCUUCAGUCCAGGACCCCCUCCUAGGUUUUUACCUCAAAUAGUACAUUCUGGUACUGCUGCUGAAUCAAACAGCUAGUUGUUUGUUGUCUCCUAAUCAGGAAGCAGCUGAUUAGGAGACAAGUUCCUAUGUUAAUGUCUCUGUGCUCCAAACACUGGCAUCAGCUGAACAUGAGUGCCUAUUUUAUAUAUGCUCUGUGGACGAAUCAGCUAGUAUGCAGCAGCAUGAAAUGGAUUUUCAAGAUCUUCAAAAAUAGAAUACAUGAAAUAGUUCACUUGGAGUGCUUAUAACCAAGACCAGUCUUGAUUUAAACUGCUCAGGUGUGGGAUUGUAAUGUAGCUGUGUGAGCCAUUUAAAAAUUAUAAUUAAAGGUUUUAAGUUCACUGAGCCCUCCCUCUCGCUUGAUUAAUCAGGGAUUUAUACAUAUAUAAUGACUUUAACUGACUGAGGGGGUAAUUUAUGUCAUGAUAUGCAUGAUAUAUGGAUCUAAAGAGAGGGAAAAGAGAACCAUCUGUUCUCUAGAAAACUGUCCACUGUCAGAAGGAUUCAGGAGUUAUGUUUGAAAAAUGUGUUCAGAAAACCAAGAAUAAAUUUAUCUCAAUUUCUUGUGCUGUCUGGAUGACAUUCUCAUUGGGUAUGUAUUGACCAAGAAACAAGGUUAGGAACUUGAAUUUAUAAGUUUUUGCAAUGCUUCAUAUUCUGUAAGUUGUUCAAAAGGCUGUAUUUUAUGUUUAUAUUUUAAAAUGCUUUUUGUUCUGAUCUUCACAGUGCUCAUGGAACACUGGUUUUGCAGCUACAGGAUGGAUACAGAACACACUAAACAAGUUUAAACACUACCUGCACCAAACAAGAAAAUGGGAGUGGUAUUUUCUGGGAGUAGGAAGGUUUUAUUUAGGGCAGGGAUUUAAAAGCAGAGGUAUCAUUCUUUGUGCCACUUAGGUACAUACCUAGCACUGUUUGUCAAGUGAGAAAGCUCCUUGUACCCUUCUCUUCUACAAUGUGAGCAAGUGAACAAUCUUAAAAACAUUUAUGCAUAUUCUUAAAUUUGCACAUGCAAACUUUGUAUGAUCCUCAACAGGACGUCUCAUGCAUGCAAACUCAAGCAAAUGCAGAGGCACUUGUGGGAUCAGGGUUUAACUUUCUGCCCGAGGGGGAAAAGUCAUAGGUGUGUGCAGCAAUUAAAAUACGAAGGUGGACUGCUGUGUGUGCUCCAGAAACUAUAGACAGCAACUGCAAAAGCAGUUGAAAGUUCUUUUAUGUUCUACUUUUUUUUUUUUUUUUUUUUUUUUUAAUACUGCAGGGCUGUUGGGUUUUAAAUUAAAUAUAUCUGUAGCAGGCUCGGUAUUUAACAGUAUGCUGGAGAAAAUAUUUUCCUGCCAAGGCUGCUAGCAAAGUCGGUGUCUCCCGGACACUCUCCGGCGUCUCCUAAAGCCCUCCCACGCGGAGUACGAACGCAAAACUCGCUCCUUCGCGGACAGGACUGCCGG
Molecule: long non-coding RNA, 8926 nt
Organism: Strigops habroptila (Kakapo)
Lineage: Eukaryota; Metazoa; Chordata; Aves; Psittaciformes; Psittacidae
Source: Ensembl